GCGGACGUGGCGGAACCGGUAGACGCAAGGGACUUAAAAUCCCUUGGGGGCAACCCCGUGCGGGUUCAACUCCCGCCGUCCGCACCA
RNAcentral lists this transfer RNA (87 nucleotides) under Alphaproteobacteria bacterium. Its description in RNAcentral is "tRNA-Leu". It matches the Rfam family "tRNA". Rfam says of the family: Transfer RNA (tRNA) molecules are approximately 80 nucleotides in length. The record is from RNAcentral. Lineage: Bacteria; Pseudomonadati; Pseudomonadota; Alphaproteobacteria. RNAcentral also lists the same sequence under 1 other name.